Molecule: ribosomal RNA, 482 nt
Filed under: uncultured bacterium
Lineage: Bacteria
Description: bacterial SSU rRNA
Rfam family: Bacterial small subunit ribosomal RNA
Source: RNAcentral
AGUGAACGCUAGCGGCAGGCCUAAUACAUGCAAGUCGAACGGAUAUAUGUUUUUCGGAAUAUAUAUUAGUGGCGCACGGGUGAGUAACACGUACAUAACUUGCCCUCAAGCGGGGGAUAGCCUUGGGAAACUGAGAGUAAUACCCCAUAGAAUUAUUGGACGGCAUCGUUUGAUAAUUAAAACUACGGUGCUUGGGGAUAGAUGUGCGUCUGAUUAGCUAGUUGGUGAGGUAACUGCUCACCAAGGCGACGAUCAGUAGGGGGCGUGAGAGCGUGGCCCCCCACACGGGUACUGAGACACGGACCCGACUCCUACGGGAGACAGCAGUAAGGAAUAUUGGUCAAUGGACGAAAGUCUGAACCAGCCAUGCCGCGUGGAGGAUGAAGGUCCUCUGGAUUGUAAACUUCUUUUAUAUGGGACGAAAAAAGGGUUUUCUAACUCGUCUGACGGUACCAUAUGAAUAAGCACCGGCUAACUCCGUG